AUGAAAAUUGAAAAGGGAAUAGGGUUUGAGAGAGAAAAGUCGUUCUCUUCUUCUCCGCAGAACAACACGAACGGCGCCGACAGACACAGCCUCCUCCGCUUCUGUUUCUUCAUCCGCCGUGCUCAGCUCUCAACCUCAGCUUCCGAUCCGGCGCGGCCUCUUCUUCUCCAAUUGGAACAUAACGCCGCCGCGAUUUCUCUUCGUCCGGCUUAG
Non-coding RNA from Vicia faba (fava bean), 213 nucleotides. NCBI's taxonomy places the organism in Eukaryota, Viridiplantae, Streptophyta, Magnoliopsida, Fabales, Fabaceae. The record is from the annotation of a GenBank genome assembly.